UGGUAAUGCCGGAUGCUCCGACUCCUCGCAUGGGGUGUCGGGAAAGAUUUCAUCGGUAUGGGAUGGGGUCGCGUCCUAUCAGGUAGUCGGCGGGGUAACGGCCCACCGAGCCUACGACGGGUAGCCGGCCUGAGAGGGCGACCGGCCACAUUGGGACUGAGAUACGGCCCAGACUCCUACGGGAGGCAGCAGUGGGGAAUAUUGCACAAUGGGCGCAAGCCUGAUGCAGCGACGCCGCGUGCGGGAUGACGGCCUUCGGGUUGUAAACCGCUUUUGAUCGGGAGCAAGCCUUCGGGUGAGUGUACCUUUCGAAUAAGCACCGGCUAACUACGUGCCAGCAGCCGCGGUAAUACGUAGGGUGCAAGCGUUAUCCGGAAUUAUUGGGCGUAAAGGGCUCGUAGGCGGUUCGUCGCGUCCGGUGUGAAAGUCCAUCGCUUAACGGUGGAUCUGCGCCGGGUACGGGCGGGCUGGAGUGCGGUAGGGGAGACUGGAAUUCCCGG
RNAcentral lists this ribosomal RNA (500 nucleotides) under Bifidobacterium pseudocatenulatum. RNAcentral's name for it is "bacterial SSU rRNA". It matches the Rfam family "Bacterial small subunit ribosomal RNA", at positions 161 to 673 of the family's 1533-position model. Lineage: Bacteria; Bacillati; Actinomycetota; Actinomycetes; Bifidobacteriales; Bifidobacteriaceae. The record is from RNAcentral.